CAGUCGCCGCGGUAAUACGUAGGUCCCGAGCGUUGUCCGGAUUUAUUGGGCGUAAAGCGAGCGCAGGCGGUUUGAUAAGUCUGAAGUUAAAGGCUGUGGCUCAACCAUAGCUCGCUUUGGAAACUGUCAAACUUGAGUGCAGAAGGGGAGAGUGGAAUUCCAUGUGUAGCGGUGAAAUGCGUAGAUAUAUGGAGGAACACCGGUGGCGAAAGCGGCUCUCUGGUCUGUAACUGACGCUGAGGCUCGAAAGCGUGGGGAGCGAACAGGAUUAGAGACCCCUGUAGUCCCUGUCUCUUAUACA
This 301-nucleotide ribosomal RNA is filed under the name uncultured bacterium. RNAcentral's name for it is "partial 16S ribosomal RNA". It matches the Rfam family "Bacterial small subunit ribosomal RNA", at positions 509 to 808 of the family's 1533-position model. The record is from RNAcentral.